This 88-nucleotide transfer RNA is filed under the name Minisyncoccota bacterium. Its description in RNAcentral is "tRNA-Ser". It matches the Rfam family "tRNA". From Rfam's summary of the family: Transfer RNA (tRNA) molecules are approximately 80 nucleotides in length. Their secondary structure includes four short double-helical elements and three loops (D, anti-codon, and T loops). The record is from RNAcentral. Lineage: Bacteria; Bacillati; Minisyncoccota.
GGAGAGGUGGCUGAGUGGUCGAAGGCGCUCGCUUGGAAAGCGAGUGAGGGUGUUAAGCCCUCCGCGGGUUCGAAUCCCGCUCUCUCCG